ACACACUGACAGCCCUGUUUCCAAGAUGGCUUGUCUGAAAGUUUUCUUGUUCCACCUCACCUCUCCUGCCACUCUAUGGCAGCAAGGAGGACUCAAGAAACAUCCCUGAGCCUGGCCAGGCACUCGCCCUUACUGCUCCAAGCAGCAUUCUGAGGUGAGGAGGACGAAGUCCCAGCCAGAGAACUCUGACUCGGCAUGAUUUUCUGUUUGCUUUGCCAGCACCAGAUUUUGGCAUCUGGCGUCCUGAGUUGGCUUCUCCUCUUACACAUGGAGUGACUGUAUCUGAUCGCCUUCCUAUCAUUUUUACCUGACAAUCAGGGUAGUGCACAGAACAGCUAUCCCUUUGAGUCUGAAGUUUCAACAAACCUUUGAUUUCCCACAAAGAGCCAGAACGUCUAACAGAACCUGAGAGCCAAGGUGUGGCAGGCCUGAGGCUGAGACCUAGCUGCUCGCCCUUGGAGUAAGAGCAGCCCCUGCAUAAGGAGGAAAGGAGCCUCCGCCUCCUGACUGGAGUACACUGUGUAAGCGUCCACAGGUCUGAAGCAGCAGUGGAAGAACCUGGAAACUGCACCUGAGAAGCAGCAGGACAGACCUUUGCUGGAGAGCACAGCCCAGCUCAGGGUUGCUCCACUCAGCUCAAGCACAAAGGGCACUGCUUCCCCAGGGUUCGUUUGCUUCUCCUCACCCCACCCCCAGAAGAGGGCUGUGGAGCACUGUGUGGAUUGCAAUCCAUGCCCACCAGUGCUGAGGGCCUUCCCUUGCUGGGUGGGUACGAUGGGAAGCUGGCACCCAAGCUUCUCUUCUAUUCAGCUGUGUGAGUUUGGGCAAACCCUUCCAACCCUUAGCUGCCUCAUCUGUAUACACAGGGCUAGGCUAGACGUCGAAGGUCCCCCAUCAGUGGAAGAGUCUAUGUUUCUCAGGUGACAGCAGAUCAAGACCGAAAAUACAUGUAAAGGAAAUAAAAAAUUUUACUUUUAUAAAAAGUCACCUCACCUCAUGGUUAGAAGAGUCACAAAAGAGUGGUUCAAGUCACGAUUUCACAAACUUAAUUACAACUAAACAAAACUAAACUUUACUUCAUUAACGCAGAUGACAGAUAAAAGACGACUUACUGGUGAUUCGAUGUCCUCUAGGAGUAAAACAGAACAGCGUUCACAUUUCAACAGUGUUUGGGCCCGAUGCAUUAUUUUCUUGACAAUUUUCUCCAGGUCAGUCUGUUCUUCAAAGAGGUCAUUAACCACCUCUAGCAAAGCCUAGGAAAGAUAAAGUGGAUGUAUUUAGGUGGCUAAGGGACUGAAUUAAAAUUUUUCUCUCAAAAUUCCAUUUAGUCUUUGCUAUAAAAAUAUAAACAUUUUUGUGUGGCUAAUUUUUAUAGUGUUUAUGGUUGUUCUGACAAACUUCCAUCAUUUCAUUUUAUAACAUAGUCUUUUUUUAUAUGUAAAUUUAUUUUUGGCUAUGUUGGGUCUUCGUUGCUGCAUGCAGGCUUUCUCUAGUUGCAGCGAGCAGGGGCUACUCUUCGUUGCGGAGCACGGGCUCUAGGCACACAGGCUUCAGCAGUUGUGGCACGCGGGCUCAGUAGUUGUGGCUCGAGGGCUCUAGAGCGCAGGCUCAGUAGCUGUGGCACACGGGCUUAGCUGCUCCACGGCUUGUGGGAUCUUCCCAGACCAGGGCUCGAACCCGUGUCCCCUGCAUUGGCAGGCAAAUUCUUAACCACUGCGCCACAAGGGAAGUCCCUAUAACACAGUCUUGAAUUGUAAAAUGUAACUUGAGAAUACUGCCAGUCCAUAAAAUCCCACAUAAGUUCCUCAUAUAUCUGUAUGACUAUAUUCCAUAUAGUUAAUGACUACAUGAUCUCAUAUAAUCAUUAUUGAUAGGCUUUUCCCCUCCUACAGUAGGUUUUCUGCAAUGUGACUAGGUAUAAAACCAACAUUUUAUGAAUAACAGAUACCUGAUUCUCUCUAAUGCACAUUUAUUUCAGAAAAUUACAAAGCAUCUCUUCCUCACCAACCAGAAGAAAUAGCUUCAUGGUCAAACUCAAGACUUAUUUUCACUAAUACCCAUCUCUCACAGAACUCUUUAAGAAUCACAGUGGCGGAUGCUACUUAAGUUUCAGAGCCUUCAAAAAAAUAUAUAAAAACUCCAUUAAUCCCUCUACACAAGAAGUAUUGCUUCAUCCCAAUCUGUCCAGGAGAACAUUUAAAUACCAUUAUACUUCUCAAAAAGAAAUCACC
This is a long non-coding RNA of Lagenorhynchus albirostris (white-beaked dolphin), 2231 nucleotides long. RefSeq lists it as uncharacterized. The transcript is spliced from 3 exons. Lineage: Eukaryota; Metazoa; Chordata; Mammalia; Artiodactyla; Delphinidae. The record is from RefSeq and is a predicted model, not a curated record.